Molecule: small nuclear RNA, 354 nt
Filed under: Prolemur simus (greater bamboo lemur)
Lineage: Eukaryota; Metazoa; Chordata; Mammalia; Primates; Lemuridae
Description: 7SK RNA (ENSPSMG00000021144.1)
Rfam family: 7SK RNA
About the family: 7SK was discovered as an abundant small nuclear RNA in the mid-70s but a possible function has only recently been suggested. Two independent studies have found that 7SK RNA binds the CDK9/cyclin T complex (known as elongation factor P-TEFb).
Source: RNAcentral
GGUUGUAAGGUCAAUCUGGCUGCAACAUCUGUCACCCCACUGAUUGUCAGAGUUGAUUUAGCUGAUCUGGCUGGCUAGGUGAGUGUCCUCUUCCUCCCUCUCUGCUCCAUGUGCAUCCCUCCUGAAGCUGCAUGCUUGGUCAAAGAGGAUGACCUUCCCUGAUAGGGGAGGACUGGACCAUUCUUCAGUCAAAGGUAUACAAGUAGCUCUGCUCCCCUGAGAGAACUUCAAAGAAGCUCUCAAGAUCAAUAGGUGCAAAAAUAUAGUUAGAUAGAUAGAACAAUAUUUGAUAGCACAACAAAGUAACUACAACCAAUGAUAAGUUAGGCUAUACUUUAAAGUAACUAUUAAUAA